Molecule: non-coding RNA, 124 nt
Organism: Picea glauca (white spruce)
Lineage: Eukaryota; Viridiplantae; Streptophyta; Pinopsida; Pinales; Pinaceae
Source: Rfam
UCAUAUGUACAUUCCUAAAAUGUUUAUGCAUCGCAUCCCAUUAAAACUCCACAUUUAAGCACGCUUGGGCUAGAGUAGUACUGGGAUGGGUGAUCUCACGAGAAGUCCUAGUGUUUUACAUGCC